RNAcentral lists this transfer RNA (75 nucleotides) under Candidatus Gottesmanbacteria bacterium RIFCSPLOWO2_01_FULL_48_11. RNAcentral's name for it is "tRNA-Thr". It matches the Rfam family "tRNA". Rfam says of the family: Transfer RNA (tRNA) molecules are approximately 80 nucleotides in length. Their secondary structure includes four short double-helical elements and three loops (D, anti-codon, and T loops). Lineage: Bacteria; Candidatus Gottesmaniibacteriota. The record is from RNAcentral.
GCCGUCGUAGCUCAGUGGUAGAGCAUCUUCUUGGUAAGAAGAAGGUCGUGGGUCCAAUUCCCACCGGCGGCUCAA